Molecule: small RNA, 778 nt
Filed under: Phlegmacium percome
Lineage: Eukaryota; Fungi; Basidiomycota; Agaricomycetes; Agaricales; Cortinariaceae
Description: eukaryotic LSU rRNA
Rfam family: 5.8S ribosomal RNA (bases 250-403)
Source: RNAcentral
GAUCAUUAUUGAAUAAAUCUGAUAAGUUGUUGCUGGUUCUCUAGGGAGCAUGUGCACGCUUGUCGUCUUUAUAUUUUCUCCACCUGUGCAUCUUUUGUAGACCUGGAUACCUUUCUGAUUGCUAGUCACUCGGGUAUGGGGAUUGACUUGACGGUCUCUCCUUACAUUUCCAGGCCUAUGUUUCUACACAUACCCACUUCUACGUUAUAGAAUGUAAUCAAUGGCCUUUGUGCCUAUAAAACAUUAUACAACUUUCAGCAACGGAUCUCUUGGCUCUCGCAUCGAUGAAGAACGCAGCGAAAUGCGAUAAGUAAUGUGAAUUGCAGAAUUCAGUGAAUCAUCGAAUCUUUGAACGCACCUUGCGCUCCUUGGUAUUCCGAGGAGCAUGCCUGUUUGAGUGUCAUUAAUAUAUCAACCUUUUCAAAUUUUGUUUGUUGAGUGUUGGAUAUGGGGGUCUCUUUUGCUGGUCUUUCUAAGGUCAGCUCCCCUGAAAUGUAUUAGCGGAACAAUUGUGGACCGUUUAUUGGUGUGAUAACUAUCUACGCUAUUAACGUGAAGCAGGUUCAGCUUCUAACAGUCCAUUCAUUUGGACAAAUUCUUAUUAAAUGUGACCUCAAAUCAGGUAGGACUACCCGCUGAACUUAAGCAUAUCAAUAAGCGGAGGAAAAGAAACUAACAAGGAUUCCCCUAGUAACUGCGAGUGAAGCGGGAAAAGCUCAAAUUUAAAAUCUGUCAGUCUUAGACUGUCCGAGUUGUAAUCUAGAGAAGUGUUAUCCGC